RNAcentral lists this ribosomal RNA (301 nucleotides) under uncultured bacterium. RNAcentral describes it as "partial 16S ribosomal RNA". It matches the Rfam family "Bacterial small subunit ribosomal RNA", at positions 509 to 808 of the family's 1533-position model. The record is from RNAcentral.
CAGCAGCCGCGGGAAUACGUAGGGAGCGAGCGUUGUCCGGAAUCAUUGGGCGUAAAGAGCUCGUAGGCGGCUUGGUAAGUCGGAUGUGAAAGCUCCAGGCUCAACCUGGAGUCGCCAUCCGAUACUGCCAUAGCUAGAGUCCGGUAGGGGCCCACGGAACUCCUGGUGUAGCGGUGAAAUGCGCAGAUAUCAGGAAGAACACCGGUGGCGAAGGCGGUGGGCUGGGCCGGCACUGACGCUGAGGAGCGAAAGCGUGGGGAGCGAACAGGAUUAGAUACCCGUGUAGUCCCUGUCUCUUAUU